This 253-nucleotide ribosomal RNA is filed under the name uncultured bacterium. RNAcentral describes it as "partial 16S ribosomal RNA". It matches the Rfam family "Bacterial small subunit ribosomal RNA", at positions 524 to 776 of the family's 1533-position model. The record is from RNAcentral.
UACGGAGGGUGCAAGCGUUAAUCGGAAUUACUGGGCGUAAAGCGCGCGCAGGCGGCUUCUUAAGUCUGAUGUGAAAGCCCACGGCUCAACCGUGGAGGGUCAUUGGAAACUGGGGAGCUUGAGUACAGAAGAGGAGAGUGGAAUUCCAUGUGUAGCGGUGAAAUGCGUAGAUAUAUGGAGGAACACCAGUGGCGAAGGCGGCUCUCUGGUCUGUAACUGACGCUGAGGCACGAAAGCUAGGGGAGCAAACAGG